AAGGAAGUGUGCCCGAAAGCCAGGGACUACUUUGAUAGAGUAGAUCACAGAGGUUAAAACCCUCUCAUUUCC
Molecule: transfer RNA, 72 nt
Filed under: Plestiodon copei
Lineage: Eukaryota; Metazoa; Chordata; Lepidosauria; Squamata; Scincidae
Description: tRNA-Ile
Source: RNAcentral